This 340-nucleotide ribosomal RNA is filed under the name uncultured Lachnospiraceae bacterium. RNAcentral's name for it is "partial 16S ribosomal RNA". Lineage: Bacteria; Bacillati; Bacillota; Clostridia; Lachnospirales; Lachnospiraceae. The record is from RNAcentral.
GGAGUUUGGGCCGUGUCUCAGUCCCAAUGUGGCCGUUCUACCUCUCAGUACGGCUACUGAUCGUCGCCAUGGUGGGCCGUUACCUCACCAUCUAGCUAAUCAGACGCGGGCCCAUCCUGUACCUAUAAAUAUUUGAUCGCAAGGUCAUGCGCCCUCGCGAUGUUAUGCGGUGUUAGCAGUCGUUUCCAACUGUUAUCCCCCUGUACAGGGCAGGUUACCCACGCGUUACUCACCCGUCCGCCACUAAGUUUUGAAAAGAUUGAUUAAUAGCAAGCUACCUCUCGCUCACAUCAAAACUCCGUUCGACUUGCAUGUGUUAAGCACGCCGCCAGCGUUCAUC